GAUGUAGUUGAUGUGCUAAUUUCUGUGUUUAUUCUUGCUUUGCUGCUGUUUUCUUCUCAACAAGUCAAAUUGAGGUUGCACUGUGCUCAUUUCUGUGUUUCUUCAUGCUUUGCUACUGUUUCUAAUAUGAUUUAGCUAAUGCAAAACCUUUAUAUUGAUUCCCAUUGACCUUUAUUUCAUAUUGUUUCCCCCUUUAAUUUUAGGUCAAUGCAGCAAGAAGGGCAGGAGCUCAUGGUGUAAUUGUUGGAUGCGCUUCGUGUAAUACAUCAAACACAAGUCUUGACAAUUGGUUGUAGGAAGCUCUCUGUACUCAAGUUUAGAUCGGGCUCGCAUCGUGGAAUCAUAAUCUGCUCUUGCUGCUGCCUUUAAUGAAGGGGUUCUGAGCCAUUACAUUUCAAUCAAGCCUUUGAAAUUUGGACCGCUGGAGGAAGAAGUUGGUUUCUUGAUGUUUUGAGGUAUAUAAUUAUGUGCCAUCAUUUUUUUCAAAGCCUAAUUAGUUUUCUACCUUUUUUUAUUUAUAUUCGUGAAGCUUUCAUGCUUGGAUUUUAAAUAUAUGAUUAAUUUUUGUUCAUUUUAGCUUAUAUUGGAACUGAGUUUCUUUCUUUUUUAUGUGCGUAUCUGUUAUCUAUCCAUUUAUGCGAAGGUUGAGUAACUAAGCAUUUAUUUGGUGGUUUGAGCCUAGAAUGGAAUUGGGCUUCUUUCUAUUUUGUGAACGUAUCUGUAUUUGUCUAUUUAUGUAAAGAUUGAGAAAACUGAGUAGUGGGUGUAUUAGUUCCAAACGACAUUCAAAUUGGAUGAUUGGUUUAUUUGUUCUAAACCCCGUUACAAUUGUAUUUGCUUGGAUGGGCUGUAGGUAUAGGGAUAGUUAGAUUACGAAUUUUGUUUUGGCAUUUUGUGAUUGGGAUCUAAUUCCAGGUUUUGUGUUCAUGUCUCCAUGUUGUUUUUGUUCUGUUUAUGUGGUUGGUUUGGGAUCUUAUUGUCCAAUGGUUGGACGGUUGGUUUGUUUUUUUUUUUUUUUCUUUUAAUUUUGUUUGUGUGAUUCUGUUAGGGUUGAAGGUGCCUUGCUAACUCUCUUAUUCUGGUUUAGGCCAGCAUUGUAGCUUUUUUUAUCAAACGUUGUUAGACAUUUCAUCUCUGUGAUUCUGUUAUUGGUUGGUUGGUGUUUUAAUUGGGUUUUUUUCAAUAGUUAACUAUUUCAUCAUUCCCGAAUUACUUUAACAUAUGCUGUUCAUAACUGCACUUUCUCAA
Molecule: non-coding RNA, 1248 nt
Organism: Malus domestica (apple)
Lineage: Eukaryota; Viridiplantae; Streptophyta; Magnoliopsida; Rosales; Rosaceae
Source: RefSeq, a predicted model, not a curated record